RNAcentral lists this long non-coding RNA (1654 nucleotides) under Homo sapiens (human). Its description in RNAcentral is "HSALNT0262603". The record is from RNAcentral. Lineage: Eukaryota; Metazoa; Chordata; Mammalia; Primates; Hominidae.
CUGCAGUCUGCAGAGGUCUGGAAAGGGACCUUUCCAGACCUCUGCAGAUUGCAGGACUCUGCCCGUCAGCUCAAUCAGCCAUCCAUAAAAUGUCCUCCCAAGACCAGCAGCAUGAGCACCACCUAAAAUGUACAUUCUCAGGUAAUCCCAAACAAGUAAAAUCUGAGAAAUUGUCACCAAGAGGAUCCUAGGGAGACGUGACAACUCAAGGCAAUGUGGUGUCUUGGAUGGGGAGGAAGGAAGAGGAGGGCAUUGUGUAAACACUAAGGAGGCCUCAAUAAGGUAUGGGCCUUAGAUCACGGCAAUAUAUCCAGUCAGUUCAUCGCUCCAGUCAGUUCAAAGGUGCCAUCCUAAUGAACCAUGUUGGCAAUGGGGGAAGCCAUGUGGGGCAUUAGGGAGCUCCAUGGACUUUAGAAAGCUAUUCUAAAAUGAAUUAUAUAUUUUAAUGCACACUCUCAGGCCCCAUGCCCGGUCUGCUCAAUCAGAAGCUGAGUCUGGGGCCCACCCACCUGAGGAUUAACCACGCCUUCAGGGGAUGGUAGUAUCACUAAGACCAACUAGUCACCAGAGACUCCCAAUGCCUCUGUAGUUCAAGAGUCAAAUCGGGAAUUUAGAGGUUGCCAAAUUUAGGCCACAAAAUACACCAUCUGGGGCAGGGAGAUAAAUAUGCAGAGCAGAGAGGAUUCCGGGGGCAGUGAAAAUACCCCCCAGGAUACUCCAGUGGUGUGUACUCAUGAGGCCUUUGUCCAAACCCACAGCACGUACAACACCCAGAGCGAGCCCUAAUGAACACUAUGGACUCUGGGUGGUGGUGAUAUGUCCAGGCAGCCUCACUGAUGGAACAGGUGCACCACUCUGCUGGGGAUGCUGGGCAGGGAGAGGCUGUGUUGUGUGAGGAGGGAGUCUAGGGGAACUCUGUGCUGUCCACUGAAUUUCCCUGUGAACCUAAACAGCUCUGAAAAAGAAAGUCUAGAGCCAGGCGUGGUGGCUCACCCCACACCAGCCUGGGCAACAAGAAAUCCCAUCACUACAAAAAAUUAUUUCAAAAAUUUGAAUAUCAUAAUUAUAAUAAAGUCUAAUAAAAACAAUACAGGGCACAGCGGCUCAUGCCUGUAAUGCCAGCACUUAAGGAGGCCGAGGCAGUUGGAUCACUUGUACUUCGGAGUUCAAGACCAGCCUGGGCAACAUAUCAAAAUUCCAUCUCUACAAAAACCACAAAAAUUAGCCAAGUUGGUGGCGUGCUCCUGUAGUCUCGGCUGCUCGGGAGGCUUAGAUGGGAGGAUUGCUUGAGCCUGGAAGGUCGCGGCUGCAGUGAGCGGUGAUUAUGCCACUGAACCUCAGCCUGCGUGACAGAGGGAGACGCCAUCUCAAAAAAAAAAAAAAAGAAAGAAAGAAAAAAGAAAACGAAAACUCUACAGGAUACCCAAUAAAAGCUGAGUUUCAGAUAAAUAAAUAAUUUAGAACAUGCUGAUACUAAAGAAAAUUGUUUAUCUGAAACUCAAAUUUCAUCAGGCAUUAUGUAUUUUAUAUGGCCACCCUCCUUGGACAACUGUACUUUACAGCAAAACAGUGGGUAACCCCAUGUCAAUCAGGAAACUCAGUUUUCCGUUAUACAAUAUUGAAAACUAAUAAGAUGAUCGUUUAUUGGAAGAAC